CAGGAUGAACGCUAGCGGCAGGCUUAACACAUGCAAGUCGAGGGGCAGCGAGAUGUAGCAAUACAUUGUCGGCGACCGGCGCACGGGUGCGUAACGCGUAUGCAACCUACCAUAUACAGGAGGAUAACCAUUCGAAAGAAUGACUAAUACUCCAUAGUAUAUUUUGAGGCAUCUUAGAAUAAUUAAAGAAUUUCGGUAUAUGCUGGGCAUGCGUGACAUUAGCUAGUUGGAGAGGUAACGGCUCACCAAGGCUACGAUGUCUAGGGGUUUUGAGAGGAAGAUCCCCCACACUGGUACUGAGACACGGACCAGACUCCUACGGGAGGCAGCAGUGAGGAAUAUUGGUCAAUGGACGGAAGUCUGAACCAGCCAUGCCGCGUGAAGGAAGACUGCCCUAUGGGUUGUAAACUUCUUUUAUACGGGGAUAAACCUAUCUUUGCGAAGAUAGCUGAAGGUACCGUAUGAAUAAGCAUCGGCUAACUCCGUGCCAGCCGCCGC
Molecule: ribosomal RNA, 498 nt
Filed under: uncultured bacterium
Lineage: Bacteria
Description: bacterial SSU rRNA
Rfam family: Bacterial small subunit ribosomal RNA
Source: RNAcentral